This 72-nucleotide transfer RNA is filed under the name Camelus bactrianus (Bactrian camel). It matches the Rfam family "tRNA". From Rfam's summary of the family: Transfer RNA (tRNA) molecules are approximately 80 nucleotides in length. Their secondary structure includes four short double-helical elements and three loops (D, anti-codon, and T loops). The record is from Rfam by way of RNAcentral. Lineage: Eukaryota; Metazoa; Chordata; Mammalia; Artiodactyla; Camelidae. RNAcentral also lists the same sequence under 2 other names.
GCGGGCAUAGCUCAGUGGUAGAGCUCAUGCUUAGCAUGCACAAGGUCCUGGGUUCAAUCCCCAGUACCUCCA